CAAUCAAAUUUUCUUGGAUGAUUCUUUUUUCCAUCGACGAUUUGAAGAUUUACUGUGGCCGGUAAAGGAGAAGGUCCGGCGAUCGGAAUCGAUCUUGGAACUACGUACUCUUGCGUCGGUGUGUGGCAGCAUGAUCGAGUUGAGAUCAUUGCCAACGAUCAGGGCAACAGGACGACGCCGUCGUAUGUUGCUUUCACCGACUCUGAGCGCUUGAUCGGUGAUGCAGCUAAGAAUCAGGUCGCCAUGAACCCGAUUAACACCGUUUUUGAUGGACGAGAAAAAGAAGCGGAGGAGAUUUGCUGACGGUGAAAAAGAGUCAAAGACGAUGGAGCAAGCUUGGGUGGUAGGGCAAGGAGGGACCGAAAGCGGUUUGAGGAUCGAGUGAAGGAAGAAGAUAAUGGUGGAAAUGUUGAUGAGAAGCAUGCGAAAGUGAUUGAAUACAAGUCCAAGGGAGACGUGGGGGAUGGAAAAGUUCAGUUUGGAGGCACCACUGAUGAAAAAAGUUCACUGGGGAAUAACCAACGAAUGCAAGAAUCUAUUUCAAUAUUGCACAAAAAGAUGAAUAACUUAGUUUUAGAGUAAUUAAUGUUUUGGCUUCAUUAAUUAUGCAUACAGGACUAUAAUUUUUUAUUUUCCAUGGUGUAAAAUUUGGUUCAUAAAAUGAUUGUAG
Long non-coding RNA from Cucumis melo (muskmelon), 670 nucleotides. RefSeq lists it as uncharacterized. The transcript is spliced from 3 exons. Lineage: Eukaryota; Viridiplantae; Streptophyta; Magnoliopsida; Cucurbitales; Cucurbitaceae. The record is from RefSeq and is a predicted model, not a curated record.